Molecule: long non-coding RNA, 2057 nt
Filed under: Olea europaea subsp. europaea
Lineage: Eukaryota; Viridiplantae; Streptophyta; Magnoliopsida; Lamiales; Oleaceae
Source: RNAcentral
UUAGCAUAGUAACCUAUUUCUAAAGUGGGUGGCACAAGCACAACUUACAAUUGAAUUGAUAUUAGAUUCACCAGUGAUUUUUCAACUCAAACACUUAUUUCUCUGUCAUGACACGGAUGAUGGAAGGUCCAAUAACACUCACAAAUUAACCACUUCUUCCAAAAUUGAGUGAAGAAUAAUUACUUUGUCAUGCUGGCAGAAGGUGUCAUCAGUCAAUUCUACAAGUAUGACUUGUCCAAGUUACAUGUGCUAAUCAACUUGAGCAUUAAUUCCAUGUAUAAACAUAACAUUUCAAAAAUAGCACAAAAAUUCAAGAAUGCAGGGUCAAAGGAGUAAUCGUGGUUUUCAUUGAUCAAAUAGAUCUACUUCAACUGAAAUCACGCUUGGAAAGGAUGUACAAUUAGCUAAAAGAAGCGGUGUUGUAGAGAAAUUGAUUGUAAAAGAGAGAAAUCGGUCACAUUAAAAUAACCUUUGAUGGAGGUUCUUUUGAUAUCCAAUAACUGCUUAGUUUGAGGAGAGAGAAUUGAGUCCAUCUGAUAACUGAUUCAACUUGACUUAAUUUUUAAUCAGUGGUAAAUCUAAAGCUAUAAUGGUGGCAUAAAACAACUGGUGUCUCCAUAGUAACAAGUAACAACUCUUUGGAUGCUAAAAAUUGAAAGAGUAACUGGAUUAUAUAUAAAUUAACUAUUUACAUUAUUAAGAAUUAAUUUAUUGUGCCACAGCAGAUCAUGUUUAUUCUAGAAUAACUCGAAUUCAGCGGCCACCGGCAGGUAGGCUAUAACCAUAGUGGUGUACAGAGAGAGGACCGCAUCAAGGUGAAGCAAAUGUAUAGAAUAUGAGAGUUGGAAAACCCAUUGAAAUAAGAUUUUAUGCAAGGCAUAUCAUAGAAAAUAGCAUAAUUUCUUAAUAUAUUUUGACUAACGGGGCCAAGGAAAUCAAUUGCUCAAAGUCAAUUGUGCUUCUCCUGCAGCACACGAUAUGAAUUUAAAUCCAAACAUCAAAUAAGAUCAAUGCAGGGUGGCAGAAAUUACUUAAACUUGAUAAAAUUUGGCAUGUAAGCAAUGAUAGAAACAACUGUCAUUUCUACCAUGAAUCACAUAAACUAUUUAUUUAUAACGUGAAAGAAGUAUAAAUGAAAGAACACAUGAGUUUUCAUCAGUGUGAAUGUUGGGGUACAUAUUGGUGAUUCCAUCAGAGUUCGGUGUAACAUAGAAGAAAUCCUUGACACAAGUGGCCAGUCUACCUCAUUCAGAGGAAAGACAUCAAUAUUAAGAGCCAGCCAGCUACUAAAAUUGGUGGAAGCUAAAGAAGAAACCCCCAGACAAGGAUAUUCAAAAUGCAUUAUUUGACACAGAAACUACCUAUCAAAAUAAUAAUAAUAAUAAUAAUAAUUUUUUGACACAGAAACUACUUCCAGAAAAGUAUUGGAAAACAAGUUUGCAUAUCUACAUAAGAUGUAAUUAAUCCAUGUGUCUGGAAUGCAUAAAAAGACCUUAAUUGGAGGAAUUUUUUUAGUUACUGUCAAAAGCCUUAAACUACCAUAUGAAUUUAAUUAAUGUUUCAUUUCAAUAAAUUUUUUGCAAUUGAUCCUUUAUCAUGUCAUUCCGAACAGGACCUAAUGCAGCGGAGGAAUGUCCCACAUACUGUUAUCCAUUUAUCAUAGAUCAGACAAUCACCUAUCCUAUCUUGCUCCAGUUACCAUUAGAAUUUUGUUUGAAGUAAAGAAAAAAGAGAGUAUAUUAUAUUAUUCAACAAUGUAAUCAAGUUGUUAACUGUUAUGAGGUCUGUAAUCAAGUCAUCCAUACAUCUUUAUGCAAUUGCAUAGCACUUCUACUAGAAGUGGUUUCGCCUCCUGACAUUUCUUUUCUUUUUUCAAAGAAAGGGCACUAAAGUCAAUGCUUACCUGCAAAGCCUUUUCCUAUAUGAGUUUGAGCCCAAGGAAUUUUCUCGUUAGGACCAAGUUUUUCAUGAAUAUAUCCCUGUGCAUUAAAAAAAUCAAUUAGAUAUGCAAUAUAUGAUGAUGAAAACACAUCAUGCUCACAUGUAAGUCAGAAAUU